This 1351-nucleotide ribosomal RNA is filed under the name Lactiplantibacillus plantarum. RNAcentral's name for it is "bacterial SSU rRNA". It matches the Rfam family "Bacterial small subunit ribosomal RNA", at positions 76 to 1415 of the family's 1533-position model. RNAcentral also lists the same sequence under 1 other name. Lineage: Bacteria; Bacillati; Bacillota; Bacilli; Lactobacillales; Lactobacillaceae. The record is from RNAcentral.
UGAUUUACAUUUGAGUGAGUGGCGAACUGGUGAGUAACACGUGGGAAACCUGCCCAGAAGCGGGGGAUAACACCUGGAAACAGAUGCUAAUACCGCAUAACAACUUGGACCGCAUGGUCCGAGUUUGAAAGAUGGCUUCGGCUAUCACUUUUGGAUGGUCCCGCGGCGUAUUAGCUAGAUGGUGGGGUAACGGCUCACCAUGGCAAUGAUACGUAGCCGACCUGAGAGGGUAAUCGGCCACAUUGGGACUGAGACACGGCCCAAACUCCUACGGGAGGCAGCAGUAGGGAAUCUUCCACAAUGGACGAAAGUCUGAUGGAGCAACGCCGCGUGAGUGAAGAAGGGUUUCGGCUCGUAAAACUCUGUUGUUAAAGAAGAACAUAUCUGAGAGUAACUGUUCAGGUAUUGACGGUAUUUAACCAGAAAGCCACGGCUAACUACGUGCCAGCAGCCGCGGUAAUACGUAGGUGGCAAGCGUUGUCCGGAUUUAUUGGGCGUAAAGCGAGCGCAGGCGGUUUUUUAAGUCUGAUGUGAAAGCCUUCGGCUCAACCGAAGAAGUGCAUCGGAAACUGGGAAACUUGAGUGCAGAAGAGGACAGUGGAACUCCAUGUGUAGCGGUGAAAUGCGUAGAUAUAUGGAAGAACACCAGUGGCGAAGGCGGCUGUCUGGUCUGUAACUGACGCUGAGGCUCGAAAGUAUGGGUAGCAAACAGGAUUAGAUACCCUGGUAGUCCAUACCGUAAACGAUGAAUGCUAAGUGUUGGAGGGUUUCCGCCCUUCAGUGCUGCAGCUAACGCAUUAAGCAUUCCGCCUGGGGAGUACGGCCGCAAGGCUGAAACUCAAAGGAAUUGACGGGGGCCCGCACAAGCGGUGGAGCAUGUGGUUUAAUUCGAAGCUACGCGAAGAACCUUACCAGGUCUUGACAUACUAUGCAAAUCUAAGAGAUUAGACGUUCCCUUCGGGGACAUGGAUACAGGUGGUGCAUGGUUGUCGUCAGCUCGUGUCGUGAGAUGUUGGGUUAAGUCCCGCAACGAGCGCAACCCUUAUUAUCAGUUGCCAGCAUUAAGUUGGGCACUCUGGUGAGACUGCCGGUGACAAACCGGAGGAAGGUGGGGAUGACGUCAAAUCAUCAUGCCCCUUAUGACCUGGGCUACACACGUGCUACAAUGGAUGGUACAACGAGUUGCGAACUCGCGAGAGUAAGCUAAUCUCUUAAAGCCAUUCUCAGUUCGGAUUGUAGGCUGCAACUCGCCUACAUGAAGUCGGAAUCGCUAGUAAUCGCGGAUCAGCAUGCCGCGGUGAAUACGUUCCCGGGCCUUGUACACACCGCCCGUCACACCAUGAGAGUUUGU